CGUUAUACAAUUGAUGUAAAUUAAUAUUUUUGGUUUAAUUGAAGUUUAAUUUAUUUUUUGUUUAAUAUUUAAAAUUUUCGGUGAAAUUUUUAUUUUUAAUUAAUCUUUUUUUGGUUCUUUCGAAAAUAUUUAAUUGUUAAACUAGGAUUAGAUACCCUAUUAUUUUUUUUUGUUAAAUUUUUACCUGGGUAGUAUUAGUUAUAUUCUUUAAACCUAAAGAGUUUGGCGGUAUUUUAUUCUUUUCAGAGGAAUUUGCCCCUUAAUCGAUAGUCCCCGUUUUAUCUUGCUUUAUUUAUUUAGUAUGUAUAUCGCCGUUAUAAGGUUAUUUUAUUAGAAUUAUUUUCUUUAAUCAUUAUUUUGAUUUAUUUCANGNCA
Molecule: ribosomal RNA, 375 nt
Filed under: Pulchriphyllium bioculatum
Lineage: Eukaryota; Metazoa; Arthropoda; Insecta; Phasmatodea; Phylliidae
Description: partial small subunit ribosomal RNA
Source: RNAcentral